ACACACACCAAACUUGCCCAUGGAGAUUUGUCCUUACUCUCUUUUGUGUGUCUGGGACGUGGAAGGUUGUUGUGGACCCAGCCCUACUUCUCCCCAUGUCAGCUGUGGGGGCUCAGCCUUGAGCUUGUUACUGUGGACAAAUCCCACCUGGGAUCUGGUCCUGCAAUGAGCUGUGCUGCUGUUGGGUCUGUGCUCAGCUCUGUCCUGCCUUGCUGCUGGGAUUGGCAUUGGAUUUCUCUCCUCACCUCACAUUUUUCUCACAGUUCCUGGGCUGCCAGUUAAUCUCAUUGCCAGCCCUCUGUGCUGGGGUGCUGUGGCACUGUAACUGCCCUUGUCACAGCCCAUGGAGCAGCUCUGUUCCUCCUGCUUCCCGUCAUCCCAGAAGAUCUACUGGCGUUUGGGACAGGACUCCUGGGACAACUCCUGGCUUUGAAAAGAUUUGCCUGCUGCAAACUGCCAACACAUCCUGGUUUUCAGCCUUUUGCUGUUUAUCCAGUGACAGUCUGAGCACGGGGAUGCCCAAAUCUCUCCUGGGACAGAACUGCUUGUGGAGUCAGUCCUGAACUAGCCUGACUGGAAAUCCUCUCCUGGAGUUUCCCCUGGAAUCCUUGUCACCCACGGUAUGUGGGAACAAAAUCUGGUCUAUAAUGCUCACUCAGAGAAACCUGUGCCCAUCUGGCCAUGGAUGAUAGCAGGGCAUAUUUGUAUGGGAAAUGUGUGCAGGAGCAGGGUUAGUAUCAGAACAUCUUGGUGCUCUUGACAAGAAAACACAUUACUUUUCCUUCAGCAGAGCAUUGCCUGUGGUUCCCUUGCUCGAAUCAAUCAAGUAUCAUAUUGGGUCAUAUUGUACCCAAACUAAUCUACUGCAUCUACCAAUCCAUCUGUUUCUGUUGAAGAAUUCCCAGAAUGUGAACAUGUCUUCAAGUGUUUGUUUAAAG
Molecule: long non-coding RNA, 938 nt
Organism: Pseudopipra pipra
Lineage: Eukaryota; Metazoa; Chordata; Aves; Passeriformes; Pipridae
Exons: 3
Source: RefSeq, a predicted model, not a curated record